Molecule: ribosomal RNA, 478 nt
Filed under: uncultured bacterium
Lineage: Bacteria
Description: partial 16S ribosomal RNA
Rfam family: Bacterial small subunit ribosomal RNA
Source: RNAcentral
GACGAACGCUGGCGGCGUGCUUAACACAUGCAAGUCGAACGGUAAGGCCCUUCGGGGUACACGAGUGGCGAACGGGUGAGUAACACGAGGGUGAUCUGCCCUGCACUUCGGGAUAAGCCUGGGAAACUGGGUCUAAUACCGGAUAGGACCACUGCCUGCAUGGGUGGUGGUGGAAAGCUUUUGCGGUGUGGGAUGGGCCCGCGGCCUAUCAGCUUGUUGGUGGGGUGAUGGCCUACCAAGGCGACGACGGGUAGCCGGCCUGAGAGGGUGACCGGCCACACUGGGACUGAGAUACGGCCCAGACUCCUACGGGAGGCAGCAGUGGGGAAUAUUGCACAAUGGGCGCAAGCCUGAUGCAGCGACGCCGCGUGAGGGAUGACGGCCUUCGGGUUGCAAACCUCUUUCAGCACCGACGAAGCGCAAGUGACGGUAGGUGCAGAAGAAGGACCGGCCAACUACGUGCCAGCAGCCGCCGUAA